This 498-nucleotide ribosomal RNA is filed under the name uncultured bacterium. Its description in RNAcentral is "partial 16S ribosomal RNA". It matches the Rfam family "Bacterial small subunit ribosomal RNA", at positions 29 to 523 of the family's 1533-position model. The record is from RNAcentral.
AUUGAACGCUGGCGGCAUGCCUUACGCAUGCAAGUCGAACGGUAACGCGGGGCAACCUGGCGACGAGUGGCGAACGGGUGAGUAACGCAUCGGAACGUGCCCAGUAGCGGGGGAUUGCCCGGCGAAAGCCGGAUUAAUACCGCAUACGACCUACGGGUGAAAGGGGGGGAUCGCAAGACAUCUCGCUAUUGGAGCGGCCGAUGUCAGCUUAGGUGGGUGGUGGGGUAAAGGCCUACCAAGCCGACGAUCUGUAGCUGGUCUGAGAGGACGACCAGCCUCACUGGGACUGAGACACGGCCCAGACGCCUACGGGAGGCAGCAGUGGGGAAUUUUGGACAAUGGGCGAAAGCCUGAUCCAGCCAUGCCGCGUGCGGGAAGAAGGCCUUCGGGUUGUAAACCGCUUUUGUCAGGGAAGAAAUCUUCUGGGUUAAUACCUCGGGAGGAUGACGGUACCUGAAGAAUAAGCACCGGCUAACUACGUGCCAGCAGCCGCCGUAA